GCAAACUUGGUCAUUUAGAGGAAGUAAAAGUCGUAACAAGGUUUCCGUAGGUGAACCUGCGGAAGGAUCAUUAUCGAGUUAGGGUCUCUUACAAACGAGCCCGACCUCCAACCCCUUGCUUAUUUGACCUAUUGUUGCUUCGGCAGGCCCGCCCUUCUGGGCCGCCGGGGGACCUGCUGUGCCCCUGGUCCGCGCCUGCCGACGGCCCAAUUUUCCAAAACUCUUGUUAACAAACAUGUUGUCUGAGUUUAUCAAAAAAAUAAAAUCAAAACUUUCAACAACGGAUCUCUUGGUUCUGGCAUCGAUGAAGAACGCAGC
This 318-nucleotide unclassified non-coding RNA is filed under the name uncultured fungus. RNAcentral describes it as "partial contains small subunit ribosomal RNA, internal transcribed spacer 1, and 5.8S ribosomal RNA". The stretch from base 1 to 73 matches the Rfam family "Eukaryotic small subunit ribosomal RNA", at positions 1759 to 1831 of the family's 1831-position model. Lineage: Eukaryota; Fungi. The record is from RNAcentral.